RNAcentral lists this signal recognition particle RNA (99 nucleotides) under Spirochaetales bacterium. Its description in RNAcentral is "signal recognition particle sRNA small type". It matches the Rfam family "Bacterial small signal recognition particle RNA". Rfam says of the family: The signal recognition particle (SRP) is a universally conserved ribonucleoprotein involved in the co-translational targeting of proteins to membranes. Archaeal SRP consists of a 7S RNA and homologues of the eukaryotic SRP19 and SRP54 proteins. In most bacteria, the SRP consists of a 4.5S RNA and the Ffh protein (a homologue of the eukaryotic SRP54 protein). Lineage: Bacteria; Pseudomonadati; Spirochaetota; Spirochaetia; Spirochaetales. The record is from RNAcentral.
AAUCGGGCCCUGUGCUAUUGUCAAUUACCCAACCCCGUCAGGAUCGGAAGGUAGCAGCGGUAAGUAAUCUGAUGAUGAGACGCAAUCGGCUUGAAAGGA